GCGUCGCUGCUGUCGUCUAUGCCGUGCUGGACCUCGCAGCGGUAGAUGCCAGAGUCGUUGGGCCGCAGCUCGCUCAGCGCCAGGGAGACGUCGGUGAGUGACGCCGGGUAGGCGGGCAGCGCCACGCGGAACCGGUAGGCCUCGCUCACCUUGACGCGCAGCCCCCGCGCCACCAGCACCUCGGCCUCCCGGCCCCCGGACAGGAAGGUCCACUUGACCCGCGGGGAGCCCAGCACGGCCCGGCGGCCCGGCGGCGGCCGCAGGUAGUGAACGUGGCACGGGAUGGUGAGGGCGCCGCCCAGCACGCCCUGCAGCGGCGCGUCGCCCGAGAUGCGCACGCGGAAGGCCCGGUCCUCUGCGGGUGGGCGGGCGGGGCCGGCUGGGACUCAGCGCCUGGGUCCGAAGGGUCCCCCCGCCCAGGUUUCCAUGCGCCCCCCCCCACCCCCAGAGUCCUGCAUCGCCACCCCGCACCCUCUCCAGAUCUGUCCCCGAAGUCUCCGGGUCGGCUCCGCCCCCAGAGUGGCCAGCGCCACCCCUCGAUUCCCAGCCUGCACCCCAGGCUUUCUAACCUCACCCCCUGGGUCCUCCAGUCCUCAGAGUUUCCCUCAGAGUCACCUGCAGGAUUUCU
This 628-nucleotide long non-coding RNA is filed under the name Lynx pardinus (Iberian lynx). Lineage: Eukaryota; Metazoa; Chordata; Mammalia; Carnivora; Felidae. The record is from RNAcentral.